CAGAAUGUAGUUUAAUGAAAAUAGUAAUUUUGGAUAUUACAGAUAGAAAAUUAUUCUGA
RNAcentral lists this transfer RNA (59 nucleotides) under Zorotypus medoensis. RNAcentral describes it as "tRNA-Pro". The record is from RNAcentral. Lineage: Eukaryota; Metazoa; Arthropoda; Insecta; Zoraptera; Zorotypidae.